GCACUGGCCCGACUCGGCUGGGAGGACUGCCGGGACUCCAGAGUCCGCGAGAAGCCUCCCUGGCGGGUGCUCUUCUUCGGCACGGACCAGUUCGCCCGCGAGGCGCUGCGGGCGCUGCACGCCGCCAGGGAAAACAAAGAAGAAGAGUUAAUCGACAAACUGGAGGUGGUCACAAUGCCUUCCCCAUCACCAAAAGGACUGCCAGUGAAGCAAUAUGCUGUGCAGUCUCAGCUUCCCGUAUAUGAGUGGCCAGACGUGGGAUCUGGAGAAUAUGAUGUUGGAGUAGUGGCUUCGUUUGGCCGACUUUUGAAUGAGUCUCUUAUUCUUAAAUUUCCCUAGUAAGUUUUAUUUGUACGGAAAUACAGUAUAGAAACCUUGGUCUUUAUAAAUGGACCUUGUAUAUAAAAUGUGAUAAUUUGAA
RNAcentral lists this small RNA (421 nucleotides) under Pan troglodytes (chimpanzee). RNAcentral describes it as "retained intron". Lineage: Eukaryota; Metazoa; Chordata; Mammalia; Primates; Hominidae. The record is from RNAcentral.